This 704-nucleotide ribosomal RNA is filed under the name uncultured bacterium. RNAcentral describes it as "bacterial SSU rRNA". It matches the Rfam family "Bacterial small subunit ribosomal RNA", at positions 57 to 780 of the family's 1533-position model. The record is from RNAcentral.
GCAGUCGACGGGAAGCUCACUUCGGUGAGUGGAGAGUGGCGAACGGGUGCGUAACACGUAGCUUAUCUGCCCUGGAGAUGGGAAUAACCCACGGAAACGUGGGCUAAUGCCCAAUAAGCUCACGUCCUCUAGAGGGAUGCGAGAAAAGCUCAGGCGCUCUGGGAUGAGGCUGCGGUCCAUCAGCUAGUUGGUGAGGUAAAAGCUCACCAAGGCGACGACGGAUAGGGGACCUGAGAGGGUGACCCCCCACACUGGCACUGAGACACGGGCCAGACUCCUACGGGAGGCAGCAGUGAGGAAUAUUGCACAAUGGGCGCAAGCCUGAUGCAGCGACGCCGCGUGGGCGAAGAAGGUCUUCGGAUCGUAAAGCCCUUUUCUAUGUGACGAGACAAGGACGGUAGCAUAGGAAUAAGUCUCGGCUAACUACGUGCCAGCAGCCGCGGUAAAACGUAGGAGGCAAGCGUUAUCCGGAGUUACUGGGCGUAAAGCGCGUGUAGGCGGUUGUGCAGGUCGGAUGUGAAAGCUCCCAGGCUAAACCGGGAGAGGUCAUUCGAAACCGCAUAACUUGAGAACAGCAGGGGCGUGUGGAAUUCCGGGUGUAGUGGUGAAAUGCGCAGAUAUCCGGAGGAACACCAGUGGCGAAGGCGGCACGCUGGGCUGUUUCUGACGCUGAGACGCGAAAGCAUGGGUAGCGAACGGGANUA